Molecule: ribosomal RNA, 485 nt
Filed under: Paracorniculantispora psalliotae
Lineage: Eukaryota; Fungi; Ascomycota; Sordariomycetes; Hypocreales; Cordycipitaceae
Description: SSU rRNA
Rfam family: Bacterial small subunit ribosomal RNA
Source: RNAcentral
AAGUGUUAAGUCUUGGAGAAAUUACUUUAUAAGUUAAGGCUAGAUUUUGGCGAAAAUUAACGGUUAAGUUUGUAUUGAAUAUUACUUUGUUUAUAUUUCGUUAAUGACGUUAUAUAUAUUAUUUCUUGACCAAUUACGUGCCAGCAGUCGCGGUAAUACGUAAGAGACUAGUGUUAUUCAUCUUAAUUAGGUUUAAAGGGUUCUCAAACGAACUGAUUACAAAAAACUAGAGUAAUAUUGUAGAAGGUUGUACCUUAAGAGUAGGGUUUUUAUUUGGUCAUACUCGAGGGUCUUUGAAAAGGCGUAGGCAACCUUCUAAGCAUUUUCUUUCGUUGAAGGACGGGCAUAGGUCACGAUCAGGAUUAGAUUCCCAUGUAGUCUUUGCCGUCAUUGUUGAAUGCCCUAGGUUAGAUUUUAUUUUAGUCUAUAAGAGUGAGUGUAAGCAUUUCACCUCAAGAGUAAUGUGGCAACGCGGGAACUGAAAU